GUGAAGACGAUAUUGAAUGGGUUAGACAUGGAGUACCAGGAAUAGAGAUCGACCCACAAACUUUGGAAUGUAUCAUAGCUCUUGAGCAAAUUUUAUUGAAAUGGCAAGAAAAAGACGAAGAAAUUCUAUUCAAGGUGAGAUUUUAUAUAACUCUCUGGAACAACAAGAACAACAAAUGGGAAGUGCAUCAAUGCCCCAACCACCUCAAAAUUGGCCACAAAAUGAAAAAGAAGUGCAUCAUGAUAACAUCUCAAGAAAUGAUUCACAUAAUUUAGAAAAUCUUCCAGAUUUUAGUGAGAGCGGGGAGCAGUCUAAGCGAUCUAGGGGUCCCACUAUGAUGCACUCAAGAUGGGGAAAAGAUGGUGGCAUUUUACAUGUUGAGUUGAAUGAUCUUGGCCAACCUAUUGGGCCAGAAGGAUGUAGAUUGAGUUCAAAACUUGGCGUCUUAGCACAAAAUGGCAUUUUAGCUCC
Molecule: long non-coding RNA, 471 nt
Organism: Solanum tuberosum (potato)
Lineage: Eukaryota; Viridiplantae; Streptophyta; Magnoliopsida; Solanales; Solanaceae
Exons: 3
Source: RefSeq, a predicted model, not a curated record